UACGUAGGGGGCAAGCGUUGUCCGGAUUUAUUGGGCGUAAAGAGCGUGUAGGCGGCCAGGUAGGUCUGCUGUGAAAACUCGAGGCUUAACCUCGAGAUGUCGGCGGAAACCAUCUGGCUAGAGUCCGGAAGAGGAGAGUGGAAUUCCUGGUGUAGCGGUGAAAUGCGCAGAUAUCAGGAAGAACACCCGUGGCGAAGGCGGCUCUCUGGGACGUGACUGACGCUGAGACGCGAAAGCGUGGGGAGCGAACAGG
Molecule: ribosomal RNA, 253 nt
Filed under: uncultured bacterium
Lineage: Bacteria
Description: partial 16S ribosomal RNA
Rfam family: Bacterial small subunit ribosomal RNA
Source: RNAcentral